Molecule: ribosomal RNA, 509 nt
Filed under: uncultured bacterium
Lineage: Bacteria
Description: partial 16S ribosomal RNA
Rfam family: Bacterial small subunit ribosomal RNA
Source: RNAcentral
GACGAACGCUGGCGGCGCGCUUAACACAUGCAAGUCGAGCGAGAACCAGACCUUCGGGUCUGGGGACAGCGGCGAACGGGUGAGUAACACGUGGGUAAUCAACCCUCGGUACUGGGAUAGCCCGGGGAAACCCGGAUUAAAACCGGAUGGCCCUUCGGAUCUUCGGUUCUGAAGGAAAAGGUAGCUUCGGCCUCCGACCGAGGACGAGCCCGCGGCGGAUUAGCUUGUUGGUGGGGUAACGGCCUACCAAGGCGGCGAUCCGUAGCUGGUCUGAGAGGACGAUCAGCCACACUGGGACUGAGACACGGCCCAGACUUCUACGGAAGGCAGCAGUGGGGAAUCUUGCGCUAAUGCGGUAAACCGUGACGCAGCGACGCCGCGUGAGGGAAGAAGGCCUUCGGGUUGUAAACCUCUUUCAGGAGGGACGAAGCUACUCGGGUUAAUAGCCCAGAGGGUGACGGUACCUUCAGAAGAAGCCCCGGCUAACUACGUGCCAGCCGCCGCCGUAA